RNAcentral lists this ribosomal RNA (230 nucleotides) under uncultured bacterium. RNAcentral describes it as "partial 16S ribosomal RNA". It matches the Rfam family "Bacterial small subunit ribosomal RNA", at positions 15 to 228 of the family's 1533-position model. The record is from RNAcentral.
GAUCCUGGCUCAGGACGAACGCUGGCGGCGUGCUUAACACAUGCAAGUCGAACGAGAAUCUGUGGAACGAGGACUCGUCCAAGUGAAGCAGAGGACAGUGGCGGACGGGUGAGUAACGCGUGAGGAACCUGCCUUUCAGAGGGGGACAACAGUUGGAAACGACUGCUAAUACCGCAUAACACAUGGGUGUCGCAUGGCACUGAUGUCAAAGAUUUAUCGCUGAAAGAUGG